Non-coding RNA from Leptonychotes weddellii (Weddell seal), 2074 nucleotides. The record is from RefSeq and is a predicted model, not a curated record. NCBI's taxonomy places the organism in Eukaryota, Metazoa, Chordata, Mammalia, Carnivora, Phocidae.
GCGUCAUCCUAUUUUCACAAGUUCUCUUUGUCUUGCCACAUUACUUAGGGUGGGAUUUUUCCAGGUGCCAACAGGAAGCCCUUUGCGCAUUUUACUCCUCUUCCCCUGGACGGUUUGUCCCUGCUCUGCGGCCUGAAGGGCGAGUGAAUGAUCUGGAGAGUGAAUGCCCUGCUUGCCGGGCAGGACAGUUCGGAUCGCUUAGGUGCAGCCAAUCAGGUCACAGGGCCAGUUUUAGUCUGGAUAAGCCCUCUCUGAAAGGGGCCCUGCUCCUGUAAUAACGGGGAAAAUCCUCUACGUGAAAGGCCCGGGCCACGAUGGGCUCAGAAAUGCUGAUUCCGCGUUUGUGUGAUCACAGCGGCUCCGCGUGGCCCGCGGCUCAGGUAUGAGGCGCAGCUGGUUUGUGUCCGUGUCAAGGGUGGAGACGGCUUGUCUGCCCAACUGGGUGACGUGGGCCAGCGCCUCUGCGUAGGCCUCACCUGCUUCUAAAUGGAAGAGAAAGUCCAACUGCUGGAAAGCAGACCUCCCGUGGGCCCGCAGCCUCCAAAGUCCCAGACCUUCCCUGAAUUUGCUUCUGGUAAAAUCCUGAGGGACGCUGGCACCCUGAAUCACCAUGGGCAAUGAGAACAGCACCUCGGAAAGCCAGCAUCUCCUCUCCACCCAGGAAGGAACAAGUGAAAACACAGGUUAUGCAUAAAUACAUACGGACACACAGAAGCAUUUAACAUUUGCAUUUUCAGAAUUCUUGUAUUAAGGCUAGCCCUGAUUUUAUAAACCAUAUUAAAAAAAAAACUAGUUUAACUAUUUUGUGCUUUUAAAAUAAUAAGAGUUUGGCACAUUUUUCCUGGAUUGUGACCACCCAUCCGUUUACUUAUGUGGAUGCAUCAGAGGAGGUUGAAAUGAAACCUUAUCCACACUCCUCCCCAAAAUAAAGUUAUGGCCCUUAAAGAGUGAUCUUCAAAUCUAUCCAUGUUGAGCAGAUUAAACGUGAACUAUCAUUUCCAUGUUAGGGAAGGUUUUCACAACUGAGGAAUGAGCUUUAACUGCUUAAUUGCGCAUACACCUGGGACUGUUAAAAUAUAUUCAAAUUUUAUAGCUCUCCAUUUUCAGUUUGAGAGACUUAAUUCAAUGCCCUGGUGAACAAAAUCAGGAGGACGCUUUCCUAUUUAUCUCACACACAGUGGAAAUUUUGGAUUCAUGGUAUUGAGUUUUCUGAGUGAGAUAAUUGGAUCUGAAAGGCAGCAUAAGGCAAUUUGCUUUCCCUCUGCCUUCUUCUUCCCUACAAUCCUCUUUUCUCAAGGAGGAACACAGGAAUCAUUGAGACAAAAUGUGGCAAACUCCAGUCUUUAGGAGCAGGCCAGAAACAGUAACUGUGGUCAAUGGCAGGGUGUGAGACAAUAGGGAGGAGGAGGGACUGUGGCAAACAGGAGGGAUCCUGUCCUAUUGUCUGAAGGAGGCACCACCAUCAACUCUGGCUGAUGGCUGCCACGUGGGAGUGCAGACCCAGUGUCACAAGAGCUUCCUAUCUCUUCAAGAGAAGUCAAAAGCCCGUAAUUUUCUAUGAAAUCAUAAAAGCAUUUAUAGUUAAAUUUCUUAUGUUGAGGCAAUGGUAGAUUGGCAUGCUGUUGCAAGACCUAAUACAGAGAGGUCCCUGAACCCUUUACCUAGUUUCCCCCAGGGUAACAUCUUUUGAAACUACAGCGCACACCCAUACCCACAUUGAGACAGUCAAGAUACCGAACAUUUCCAUCACCUGAAGGAUUCCUUUCAGUUUUCCUUUCACCACCUCCUGUUCCCCACCCCUAAUCCCUGGCGCCUCCUCGUUUGUCCUCUAUGUCUGUAAUUUUGGCUUUCUGAGAAUGUUAUAUAAAUAGAAUCACACGGUGUAGGACCUUUUGGAAUUGGCUUUUCUCACUCUGCUUAAUUUCCUCGAGAUUCAUCCAGGUAGUUACGUGUAUCAGUAGUUUACUCCUUUUACUUGCUGAGUUGUGCUCCAUGGUCUAGAAACAUCUGGUUGUUUCCAGCUUGGGACGAUUACAAAUAAAGCUAUUGUGAACAUUUGUAUACAGGUUUUUGU